Molecule: ribosomal RNA, 305 nt
Filed under: uncultured bacterium
Lineage: Bacteria
Description: bacterial SSU rRNA
Rfam family: Bacterial small subunit ribosomal RNA
Source: RNAcentral
CGGUCCUACGGGGGGCAGCAGUGGGGAAUAUUGCACAAUGGGGGGAACCCUGAUGCAGCGACGCCGCGUGAGUGAAGAAGUAUUUCGGUAUGCAAAGCUCUAUCAGCAGGGAAGAUAAUGACGGUACCUGACUAAGAAGCCCCGGCUAACUACGUGCCAGCAGCCGCGGUAAUACGUAGGGGGCAAGCGUUAUCCGGAUUUACUGGGUGUAAAGGGAGCGUAGACGGCAUUGCAAGUCUGAUGUGAAAGAUUGGGGCUCAACCCCAGGCCUGCAUUGGAAACUGUAAAGCUGGAGUACAGGAGAG